GAAUGGAUAAUCUCUCUCUCUAUCUGUGUGUGUGUGAAGCUACAGCUAAGUACUUGGUUUCCUUUCUCUCACUUUCCUGGGCAGUGGUAGAGGGUUUUAAUGAGAGAGAAAGAGAUUAAAAAGAGUAAUGAUAAUUACUGAAAAAAGUUUAGACGAUUUCUUUGUUUGGGCAGCAAGAAUGUAAGGGAAAAGAAAGGAAACUUUUUGGAUCCAAGGAAUC
RNAcentral lists this unclassified non-coding RNA (220 nucleotides) under Hevea brasiliensis (rubber tree). The record is from RNAcentral. Lineage: Eukaryota; Viridiplantae; Streptophyta; Magnoliopsida; Malpighiales; Euphorbiaceae.